GACGAACGCUGGCGGCGUGCUUAAUACAUGCAAGUCGAACGGAAAGGCCCUGCUUUUGCGGGGCGCUCGAGUGGCGCACGGGUGAGUAUCACGUGAGUAACCUGCCCUUGACUUUGGGAUAACUUCUGGGAACUGGGGCUAAUACCGGGUAGAAGCUCCUGCUGCAUGGUGGGGGAUGGAAAGAUUCGGCGGUUGUGGAUGGACUCGCGGCUUAUCAGCUUCUUUGUGGGGUAGUGGCUGACCAAGGCUUUGACGGCUAGCCGGCCUGAGAGGGUGACCGGCCACAUUGGGACUGAGAGACGGCCCAGACGCCUACGGGAGGCAGCAGUGGGGAAUAUUGCACAAUAGGCGGAAGCCUGAUGCAGCAACGCCGCGUGCGGGAUGACGGCCUUCGGGUUGUAAACCGCUUUCGCCUGUGACGAAGCGUGAGUGACGGUAAUGGGUAAAGAAGCACCGGCUAACUACGUG
This 468-nucleotide ribosomal RNA is filed under the name uncultured bacterium. RNAcentral describes it as "partial 16S ribosomal RNA". It matches the Rfam family "Bacterial small subunit ribosomal RNA", at positions 28 to 507 of the family's 1533-position model. The record is from RNAcentral.